Molecule: non-coding RNA, 1559 nt
Organism: Kogia breviceps (pygmy sperm whale)
Lineage: Eukaryota; Metazoa; Chordata; Mammalia; Artiodactyla; Physeteridae
Source: RefSeq, a predicted model, not a curated record
AAGUGCCUUCCACGCGUGAUGUCCCCUCGUGCCCACAGCCACCGUAUGGGGCUCGACCUCUAGCUCCAGGCCACCAGCCGCAUGUGGCCACUCAACACCUGAACCCUGGGAGUCUGAACUGAGAUGUGCUUUCGUGUAAAAUACUCAUGCGGUUUCAUGGACUCAUGAAGUUUAAAGAAUAGUAAACAUUAUUACCAUUCCAAGUUCACGGCUUGAAAAAGGAGGCUCAAAGAGUUGACCAGCUGCCACAAAGUCUAUAAGUGAAGGCAUCUAGCUUCCUUCUACAAAGAGAGAAAGCCCAGGGCUUGGCUAGACCUUCUCACCACCGCUACCCCCAGCUUCCGCUCCCUGGGCUCUUCAUGACCAUCUAGAGCCUUCCAGAACCUCUCCAGAGAACAGCUGUGCUCCAGAGAACCUGGACCACCCCAAAUUCUCUGAGCAAACUCUGCUUCCCAUGGCCAAGGCUGUUCACAGGACUGGAGUGAAUUUCCCCUAUUCAGCCCACCCCACAUUCCCUGAGUGGUUAAGAGCACAGGCCCUGGAUGGAUGGAGUGGGUGCAUAUCCUGACUCUGCCACUUAUUAGCUGUGUGACCUAGGGCACGUUGCUUGACCUCUCUGUGCCUCUAUUGCCUCAUCUGUAAAGCGGAAUAAUAACAGUACCUGCUUCCUGGGGUUGUUUCGAGAACUGAGUGAAUUAAUAUGGGAAAGCACCUGGAAGCCCCUCUGACCCCCAGCAAACAGAGAUUACGGAAAAGACUGACGUCAGUAUUCCCCUCUCCGAGGUGAGGAAGCCAGCAAGUCCUGCAGAGCCUAAUAAUUCUGUCUUCUGCUGAAAGUGUGCAGAGCAGAGGCGAACAGCAAGUAGGCAUUGGGCAUCCAGCCAGGCUGCUGCAGUCCCGUUCCCUACUUCACCGCCCUCUGCUCUCCGGGGGCUCCCUGGCUCACCCAUGCCCCAUCCCAAAUGCCAGGCUUUUCACCUGUAACACAAGACUCCCCACCCGCACUGUGUCCCCCACCACGUGGUCUGCGCAGCUUUCUCUAGAAUAGUCUUCGCAGAGGGGCGAGCAGCCACCUACCACCAGACUUGUCAAAUCUGCCAGGGAAGAUGCACUUGAAAUAUGCAGUGCCUUUUUUAACCGUAACAUCAUAUUGAGGUACAUUGUAAGAGUGUUUAUCAGACCUUCGAGCACUGAAGUUCUGGAAAAAUACAGUCUCCGGGACCUCCUCACUCGUGCGGCCAGGAGUCUUCAGAGAAACCCCCAGAUUGUUUUCCUGUUCACAGUUCCCUCCUUUGUUUGCCAACUAAGUCCCAGACAUACUUGAUUUGACUGUGAAGAAAUACUACUUGUUUAUCAUCGGUUAUUAUCUAUGCCUACUUGUCACGUGGUACAAAAACAGUAAUAGGCAUCAUUUCAAAUACGGGGCGGGUUAAUUUUGUUAAAUUUAUUGUUUGAUUUAUACCAAAUUUUGUUGAACACUCGUAGUCUCAUGCUUUUGUAACUUGCUGCCAAUACUCUCUUGUUUUUCUUAACUAGAAGAAGUAUUUGUUAGGUCUACU